This 301-nucleotide ribosomal RNA is filed under the name uncultured bacterium. RNAcentral describes it as "partial 16S ribosomal RNA". It matches the Rfam family "Bacterial small subunit ribosomal RNA", at positions 509 to 807 of the family's 1533-position model. The record is from RNAcentral.
CAGCAGCCGCGGUAAAACGUAGGGUGCGAGCGUUAAUCGGAAUUACUGGGCGUAAAGCGUGCGCAGGCGGUUCGGAAAGAGAGAUGUGAAAUCCCAGGGCUUAACCUUGGAACUGCAUUUUUAACUACCGGACUAGAGUGUGUCAGAGGGAGGUGGAAUUCCGCGUGUAGCAGUGAAAUGCGUAGAGAUGCGGAGGAACACCGAUGGCGAAGGCAGCCUCCUGGGAUAACACUGACGCCCAUGCACGAAAGCGUGGGGAGCAAACAGGAUUAGAUACCCCCGUAGUCCCUGUCUCUUAUAC